This 497-nucleotide ribosomal RNA is filed under the name uncultured bacterium. Its description in RNAcentral is "partial 16S ribosomal RNA". It matches the Rfam family "Bacterial small subunit ribosomal RNA", at positions 28 to 507 of the family's 1533-position model. The record is from RNAcentral.
GACGAACGCUGGCGGCGUGCCUAAUACAUGCAAGUAGAACGCUGAAGAGAGGAGCUUGCUCUUCUUGGAUGAGUUGCGAACGGGUGAGUAACGCGUAGGUAACCUGCCUUGUAGCGGGGGAUAACUAUUGGAAACGGUAGCUAAUACCGCAUAACAAUGGAUGACACAUGUCAUUUAUUUGAAAGGGGCAAUUGCUCCACUACAAGAUGGACCUGCGUUGUAUUAGCUAGUAGGUGAGGUAAUGGCUCACCUAGGCGACGAUACAUAGCCGACCUGAGAGGGUGAUCGGCCACACUGGGACUGAGACACGGCCCAGACUCCUACGGGAGGCAGCAGUAGGGAAUCUUCGGCAAUAGGGGCAACCCUGACCGAGCAACGCCGCGUGAGUGAAGAAGGUUUUCGGAUCGUAAAGCUCUGUUGUAAGUCAAGAACGGGUGUGAGAGUGGAAAGUUCACACUGUGACGGUAGCUUACCAGAAAGGGACGGCUAACUACGUG